Molecule: ribosomal RNA, 440 nt
Filed under: uncultured bacterium
Lineage: Bacteria
Description: partial 16S ribosomal RNA
Rfam family: Bacterial small subunit ribosomal RNA
Source: RNAcentral
CCUACGGGUGGCAGCAGUAGGGAAUAUUGCUCAAUGGGGGAAACCCUGAAGCAGCAACGCCGCGUGGAGGAUGAAGGUUUUAGGAUCGUAAACCUCUUUUGUGAGAGAAGAUCAUGCCGGUAUCUCACGAAUAAGCACCGGCCAAACCCGUGCCAGCAGCCGCGGUAAUACGGAGGGUGCAAGCGUUACUCGGAAGCACUGGGCGUAAAGAGUGCGCAGGCGGGCUUGUAAGUCAGAUGUGAAAUCCAGUGGUUUAACGACAGAACUGCAUUUGAAACUAUGAGUCUAGAGUGUGGGAGAGGUAGGUGGAAUUCUAGGUGUAGGGGUAAAAUCCGUAGAUAUCAAGAGGAAUACUCGUGGCGAAGGCGACCUACUGGAACAUUACUGACGCUCAUGCACGAAAGCGUGGGGAGCAAACAGGAUUAGAUACCCGAGUAGUC